GGAGGUUUCUCAUCGUAGUGAUACAAAACCAAAACCAUACGAUAUCACCGGGUGAGAAUCUUCCAA
This 66-nucleotide microRNA precursor is filed under the name Caenorhabditis briggsae. Its description in RNAcentral is "Cbr-Mir-36-o24_pre stem-loop". Lineage: Eukaryota; Metazoa; Nematoda; Chromadorea; Rhabditida; Rhabditidae. The record is from RNAcentral.